Molecule: non-coding RNA, 494 nt
Organism: Maylandia zebra (zebra mbuna)
Lineage: Eukaryota; Metazoa; Chordata; Actinopteri; Cichliformes; Cichlidae
Source: RefSeq, a predicted model, not a curated record
UUUUUGUUGAAUAUAAAUCAAAGAAAACUUUGAUGAGUUAAAUUCGUUCAUGGCAAUCCAAUGAGAAUGAGGUCCAUCAAACCAAAGGCUCUGAUAGCGUCAUGUAUUGCGCAUGCUCCACGCCCACCGGAUGCGGAAAGGUCCGUUGAGAAGUUAACGAGCGCACGUGGAGUUACUUCUUUGGCAUACCUGAUAGUGAGAAAUACAUCACAAAAUAAAGCCACAUUCCCAUGCUCUGAGAUUCUUAUGCACCUCCUCAACAAUACAUGUGACGUGUAUGUGGCAGUGCAAGCAUUGUGUUACCAGAGAGAGCAGCAGGUACAAAUUACUUCAACAUUAUAAACUACAUCAUCAUUACGGAAUAGGUCAACAUUAUCUGUGCAUAUAUGUUAAUUGUCCGUGCACAUUUAAGACUUGGAGUGGACUGAACACUCAUGUCUAUAAAGCUCAUUCAUCUCAGUUUACACAGACAGCUUCAAGUUCAGUAACUUUUA